CCCUUGACGCGGCAGGCCACCAACGCGAGUCCGUGACUCCGGCGAGUUGCCCUCGAGGCGGGCGGCGACCCACGCCAUAACCCUAGGCCGGCUGCGUCGACCUGCGCCAGUGGCCUCUGGCGGAGCGGUUGCCCGGCCACCGUCGAGCGCGGCCACCCCGACGGUGCGGCGGCCGCCCAGUACGGCACGCGGCCCCGCCGGUGCCCGCGGGCACGGCCACCCCGCGUGGAAGUCGGAGGUGCGAGGUCGCGCUGCUGAGCGCCGUCCGCCCCCUCCCCCCCUCCCCCGAGGUUGCGACGUCGUCGCUGGUCGCCGCUGCGCCGCCGAUGCCGCGGGGCUGCAUGUCCGCCCUCUCCGGCUUCGUGCUCCGCCUCUAUCAACAACAUGCGCUCGACCCCUCCCUCUUCCCGGCUCUAGAGGCCUGACGCUGUGCCGCGCCCGCACGGGUGCCCCAGCGCUCGCAAGCCCUCCAGCGCAACCAGAUACAGGUACUAUCUCCACCCUACCCGCCCUCGUCCGCACAGAUGAUGUAAUGUUUGUUGUCGCCAUGUCGCGUGCGCUUGAGUUUGCCGGCGGCUCCGCACAAGGGCUUCUCCCUCCGUCGGCCGACACCUCUUGACCUUCCUCUACAUGGGGGCCAUCGAAAUGUGGAGAAAUUCUGGAGAAGAAGAAGGCUACUGUGCUUUGCUUCCUUGCAAAAAUCUGAGGUAGGAGUGCAAGUGCUGUAUAUUAUACCUUUGUUUUGACACUUUGCUUGGUGGGAAAGAGCAGCAAAGCAACAAGGUGUCCAUGGUGUGCUUCUGCUUUAGGAACAUCUGAAAUAUCCUUCCUUUAUUGUCAGAUACAGAGUGCCUUGGUAUCUCGCUCUCCAUCUCUAUGCCACUCUUCAAACUAGUGUUGGCGGCAUGUAGAGAUGACUUCGAAGACAAUGGAAGGAAACUAUUUGCAUCUAUUAUAUGGCUUAAGGUAAAACACAUGAGAUCACCAAGCUCAGCUUAUGAUAUUAUGUUCCUUCUCUCAUCUAGCACGGCCUAUGUAAUUUAUUUCACGACCUGCAGAUCAGAACCAUGUAAUUAGUUGCCCUAGGGGUUCACUGUUGCCUCAAUUUGGGUCUUGUUUCUUUGAUUUAGUGUAUCCAUACUUCGAUUUCGUCAAUAUAUAUUUUCUUUUAGUGAGCAACAACAAAGUUCUUCCAUAGCUUCGUACUGUAUUUGCAGCAAUAUCAAAAUGAAAUGAUCAUCGAAUUUGCAGCAUUUGCGCACUGCAGAGACAUUUGUUAGUUUUCAAAGUUGCAAAAAAAGCAGCCCAGUGCCAGGCAGCUCCCAUUUGAGUGUGGUCUGGAGAAGGGUAUGUCUUUUAUGUUUGUGUUGCUUCACUCUUACCAUCAUGUAUUCAUAAAUAAACAUAUUCCUAUACAAUUCUAUGUCCACAUGCUGAAACUUUAUUCAGAGUACAUUAUGAGCAGGUUUGAUGCGGUUGCAAUCUUGCACACUCAUACAGUACCCUCAGGUGUAGUGUGCAAUAUGAGGCUCUCUUAAACACAGUUAUACCACAUUCCAUGCUUCCAUCCUUUAUUUCUUUUUUCCUUUCUUCUAAGCAGGGUUUUUAAGGCGUCGCCUAGGCGACAAGGCGGUUCCCCAUCGCCUUGCUUAAGGCUCGCCUUAGCCCGCCUAGGCGUCACCUAGGCGACUAAGCGGCUUCCCAUCGCCUCGCCUCGCCUUACCGCUUUAAAAACCUUGCUUCUAAGAGUGAAGUUGUAUUUACAUUUCCUGUUAGUCCAAUGUGCAUACUAUUUCAUCGAAUGAAUUGCAAUGGCCUCCACCUUAGCUGAGAUAUCCAUAAAUUGUUUGAUUUUCUUUCUUAUGUCAAAUCCAAAAAUUAGUUUUUUUUUCUCUAACUGAAGUUAUUUGCUUUUCUAGGUAGCAACUCCAUGACAUUGGUGAGCCACGACCAGUGAACUUACCUAUAGUCCCUUUUCCUGAUGGACACAACAACGCUAACCUUUGCAUAAAUAGGUUCCUACAAACACUGCUCAAAAUCUAAAAGAGAUGCUAAUCAAAUACUAGCAUUGUUAUAGCUGUUGUUCUUACUGUAAGCAGACAUUUAAAUUGACUUCUCUUUCUUCGUGCUUUUAACUGCUACUACGUAUGGAUAUGUACCAAAACAAAACACCAUAUAUGUAUGCACAUCUCUAUCUUUUUAUUGAACAUUUAUGUAGUUA
Panicum virgatum (switchgrass) is the source of this 2221-nucleotide RNA transcript. RefSeq lists it as uncharacterized. The transcript has 3 exons. The record is from RefSeq and is a predicted model, not a curated record. NCBI's taxonomy places the organism in Eukaryota, Viridiplantae, Streptophyta, Magnoliopsida, Poales, Poaceae.